RNAcentral lists this ribosomal RNA (320 nucleotides) under Bacillus sp. Sd8Re-23. Its description in RNAcentral is "bacterial SSU rRNA". It matches the Rfam family "Bacterial small subunit ribosomal RNA", at positions 165 to 481 of the family's 1533-position model. The record is from RNAcentral. Lineage: Bacteria; Bacillati; Bacillota; Bacilli; Caryophanales; Bacillaceae.
AAUACCGGAUGCUUGUUUGAACCGCAUGGUUCAAACAUAAAAGGUGGCUUCGGCUACCACUUACAGAUGGACCCGCGGCGCAUUAGCUAGUUGGUGAGGUAAUGGCUCACCAAGGCAACGAUGCGUAGCCGACCUGAGAGGGUGAUCGGCCACACUGGGACUGAGACACGGCCCAGACUCCUACGGGAGGCAGCAGUAGGGAAUCUUCCGCAAUGGACGAAAGUCUGACGGAGCAACGCCGCGUGAGUGAUGAAGGUUUUCGGAUCGUAAAGCUCUGUUGUUAGGGAAGAACAAGUACCGUUCGAAUAGGGCGGUACCUU